AGGUUAAGUUAAUAAGGGCGCACGGUGGAUGCCUUGGCACUAGAAGCCGAUGANNNNNNNNNNNNNNNNNNNNNNNNNNNNNNNNNNNNNNNNNNNNNNNNNNNNNNNNNNNNNNNNNNNNNNNNNNNNNNNNNNNNNNNNNNNNNNNNNNNNNNNNNNNNNNNNNNNNNNNNNNNNNNNNNNNNUUGGGGAGCUGUAAGUGAGCAAUGAUCCAGAGAUGUCCGAAUGGGGGAACCCGGCAGGUAAUGCCUGUCACUCAUUACUGUUAAGGUAAUGUAGAGGAAGACGCAGUGAACUGAAACAUCUAAGUAGCUGCAGGAAGAGAAAGCAAAAGCGAUUGCCUUAGUAGCGGCGAGCGAAACGGCAAGAGGGCAAACCGAAGAGUUUACUCUUCGGGGUUGUAGGACUGCAACGUGGACUUAAAGAUUAUAGAAGAACUACCUGGGAAGGUAGGCCAAAGAGAGUAAUAGCCUCGUAUUCGAAAUAGUCUUUAUACCUAGCAGUAUCCUGAGUACGGCGAGACACGAGAAAUCUCGUCGGAAUCUGGGAGGACCAUCUCCCAACCCUAAAUACUCUCUAGUGACCGAUAGUGAACCAGUACCGUGAGGGAAAGGUGAAAAGCACCCCGGGAGGGGAGUGAAAUAGAACCUGAAACCGUGUGCCUACAACAAGUUCGAGCCCGUUAAUGGGUGAGAGCGUGCCUUUUGUAGAAUGAACCGGCGAGUUACGAUAUGAUGCGAGGUUAAGUUGAAGAGACGGAGCCAUAGGGAAACCGAGUCUUAAUAGGGCGCAUUAGUAUCAUGUCGUAGACCCGAAACCAUGUGACCUACCCAUGAGCAGGUUGAAGGUGAGGUAAAACUCACUGGAGGACCGAACCAGGGCACGUUGAAAAGUGCUUGGAUGACUUGUGGGUAGCGGAGAAAUUCCAAACGAACUUGGAGAUAGCUGGUUCUCUCCGAAAUAGCUUUAGGGCUAGCGUCGAUGUUAAGUCUCUUGGAGGUAGAGCACUGUUUGGGUGAGGGGUCCAUCCCGGAUUACCAAUCUCAGAUAAACUCCGAAUGCCAACGAGAUAUAAUCGGCAGUCAGACUGCGAGUGCUAAGAUCCGUAGUCGAAAGGGAAACAGCCCAGACCACCAGCUAAGGUCCCAAAAUAUAUGUUAAGUGGAAAAGGAUGUGGGGUUGCACAGACAACUAGGAUGUUAGCUUAGAAGCAGCUAUUCAUUCAAAGAGUGCGUAAUAGCUCACUAGUCGAGUGACCCUGCGCCGAAAAUGUACCGGGGCUAAAACAUAUUACCGAAGCUGUGGAUACCUUUAUAGGUAUGGUAGGAGAGCGUUCUAUGUGCGAAGAAGGUGUACCGUGAGGAGUGCUGGAGCGCAUAGAAGUGAGAAUGCCGGUAUGAGUAGCGAAAGACAGGUGAGAAUCCUGUCCACCGUAAGACUAAGGUUUCCAGGGGAAGGCUCGUCCGCCCUGGGUUAGUCGGGACCUAAGGAGAGACCGAAAGGUGUAUCCGAUGGACAACAGGUUGAUAUUCCUGUACUAGAGUAUAUAGUGAUGGAGGGACGCAGUAGGCUAACUAAACCAGACGAUUGGAAGUGUCUGGCCAAGCAGUGAGGUGUGAUAUGAGUCAAAUGCUUAUAUCUAUAACAUUGAGCUGUGAUGGGGAGCGAAGUUUAGUAGCGAAGUUAGUGAUGUCACACUGCCGAGAAAAGCUUCUAGCGUUAAUUAUACUCUACCCGUACCGCAAACCGACACAGGUAGUCGAGGCGAGUAGCCUCAGGUGAGCGAGAGAACUCUCGUUAAGGAACUCGGCAAAAUGGCCCCGUAACUUCGGGAGAAGGGGCGCUGACUUAUGGUCAGCCGCAGUGAAUAGGCCCAAGCAACUGUUUAUCAAAAACACAGCUCUCUGCUAAAUCGUAAGAUGAUGUAUAGGGGGUGACGCCUGCCCGGUGCUGGAAGGUUAAGAGGAGUGCUUAGCAAUAGCGAAGGUAUGAAUUGAAGCCCCAGUAAACGGCGGCCGUAACUAUAACGGUCCUAAGGUAGCGAAAUUCCUUGUCGGGUAAGUUCCGACCCGCACGAAAGGCGUAAUGAUUUGGGCACUGUCUCAACGAGAGACUCGGUGAAAUUUUAGUACCUGUGAAGAUGCAGGUUACCCGCGACAGGACGGAAAGACCCCAUGGAGCUUUACUGCAGUUUGAUAUUGAGUAUCUGUACCACAUGUACAGGAUAGGUAGGAGCCUAUGACCUCGGGACGCCAGUUUCGAGUGAGGCGUUGUUGGGAUACUACCCUUGUGUUAUGGCUACUCUAACCCAGAUAGGUUAUCCCUAUCGGAGACAGUGUCUGACGGGCAGUUUGACUGGGGCGGUCGCCUCCUAAAAGGUAACGGAGGCGCCCAAAGGUUCCCUCAGAAUGGUUGGAAAUCAUUCGCAGAGUGUAAAGGUAUAAGGGAGCUUGACUGCGAGAGCUACAACUCGAGCAGGGACGAAAGUCGGGCUUAGUGAUCCGGUGGUUCCGCAUGGAAGGGCCAUCGCUCAACGGAUAAAAGCUACCCUGGGGAUAACAGGCUUAUCUCCCCCAAGAGUUCACAUCGACGGGGAGGUUUGGCACCUCGAUGUCGGCUCGUCGCAUCCUGGGGCUGUAGUCGGUCCCAAGGGUUGGGCUGUUCGCCCAUUAAAGCGGCACGCGAGCUGGGUUCAGAACGUCGUGAGACAGUUCGGUCCCUAUCCGUCGCGGGCGUAGGAAAUUUGAGAGGAUCUGCUCCUAGUACGAGAGGACCAGAGUGGACUUACCGCUGGUGUACCAGUUGUUCUGCCAAGAGCAUCGCUGGGUAGCUAUGUAGGGAAGGGAUAAACGCUGAAAGCAUCUAAGUGUGAAGCCCACCUCAAGAUGAGAUUUCCCAUGAUUUUAUAUCAGUAAGAGCCCUGAGAGAUGAUCAGGUUGAUAGGUUAGAAGUGGAAGUGUGGUGACACAUGUAGCGGACUAAUACUAAUAGCUCGAGGACUUAUCCAAA
Molecule: ribosomal RNA, 3009 nt
Filed under: Streptococcus salivarius
Lineage: Bacteria; Bacillati; Bacillota; Bacilli; Lactobacillales; Streptococcaceae
Description: 23S ribosomal RNA
Rfam family: Bacterial large subunit ribosomal RNA
Source: RNAcentral